This 253-nucleotide ribosomal RNA is filed under the name uncultured bacterium. RNAcentral describes it as "partial 16S ribosomal RNA". It matches the Rfam family "Bacterial small subunit ribosomal RNA", at positions 524 to 776 of the family's 1533-position model. The record is from RNAcentral.
UACGUAGGGUGCAGGCGUUAAUCGGAAUUACUGGGCGUAAAGCGUGCGCAGGCGGUUUGCUAAGACAGGUGUGAAAUCCCCGGGCUUAACCUGGGAACUGCGCUUGUAACUGGCAAGCUAGAGUGUGGCAGAGGGGGGUGGAAUUCCAGGUGUAGCGGUGAAAUGCGUAGAUAUCUGGAGGAAUACCGGUGGCGAAGGCGGCAUCCUGGACCGACAUUGACGCUGAGGAGCGAAAGCUAGGGGAGCAAACGGG